Molecule: ribosomal RNA, 466 nt
Filed under: Vreelandella stevensii
Lineage: Bacteria; Pseudomonadati; Pseudomonadota; Gammaproteobacteria; Oceanospirillales; Halomonadaceae
Description: partial 16S ribosomal RNA
Rfam family: Bacterial small subunit ribosomal RNA
Source: RNAcentral
CCUACGGGGGCGCAGCAGUGGGGAAUAUUGGACAAUGGGCGAAAGCCUGAUCCAGCCAUGCCGCGUGUGUGAAGAAGGCCUUCGGGUUGUAAAGCACUUUCAGUGGGGAAGAAAGCCUUGGGGCUAAUACCCUCGAGGAAGGACAUCACCCACAGAAGAAGCACCGGCUAACUCCGUGCCAGCAGCCGCGGUAAUACGGAGGGUGCGAGCGUUAAUCGGAAUUACUGGGCGUAAAGCGCGCGUAGGCGGUCUGAUAAGCCGGUUGUGAAAGCCCCGGGCUCAACCUGGGAACGGCAUCCGGAACUGUCAGGCUAGAGUGCAGGAGAGGAAGGUAGAAUUCCCGGUGUAGCGGUGAAAUGCGUAGAGAUCGGGAGGAAUACCAGUGGCGAAGGCGGCCUUCUGGACUGACACUGACGCUGAGGUGCGAAAGCGUGGGUAGCAAACAGGAUUAGAUACCCCAGUAGUC